CCCGUCACACCAUGGGAGCCAGUUGUACCGGAAGUCAGUGACUCAACCCGCAAGGGAGAUAGCUGCCCAUGGUAUGGCUGGUGACUGGGGUG
This 92-nucleotide ribosomal RNA is filed under the name uncultured bacterium. RNAcentral describes it as "partial 16S ribosomal RNA". It matches the Rfam family "Bacterial small subunit ribosomal RNA", at positions 1393 to 1482 of the family's 1533-position model. The record is from RNAcentral.